GGGUCUGUAGCUCAAAGGAUUAGAGAACAUGGCUACAAACCAUAGUGUUGGGGGUUCAAAUCCCUCCUUGCCCA
Molecule: non-coding RNA, 74 nt
Organism: Picea glauca (white spruce)
Lineage: Eukaryota; Viridiplantae; Streptophyta; Pinopsida; Pinales; Pinaceae
Source: Rfam